UUUGGAGUGGCAAUCUGAUUUACAACCCCCAAUAUCAAGGCAGCUGCGGAAGCACAAGUCUUAAGCAUAUGCCCAAGAAAAAGGAACAGGAAGCGAUGGGAAUGUCAAAAGAGCCCUGGGGGACUUCAGCCAUGCGUUCCAGCUCUCUCUGCUGCACCCCGCCGCUCCCGCCGGCGUUGCUGUCGCUGCUACCACUGCCGCCGCUGCUGCCCUCUUCCAUGUUCCUGACCGCGCGGUUGCCACUCUGCCUUUGCUGUCCCGGCGGGUGCGCCUGGCGUUUGGAUCAAUGUGCCCUCCCCGAGGCCGCCCCGGCCAUCUUUGUUCCGGGCGGUGCCGUGGCUCAGACGCGAUUGGCUGGUGAGGGAAUCCCUGCGGAACCCGGGAUGGCACCACCCACAACUGAGAAAAUGCCUUACAGCUGGAUCUCAUGGAGGGAUUUCCUCAACUGAGGCUCCUUCUUCACUGACGACUCUAGCUUGUGUCAAGUUGAACUUGGGGCAGCC
RNAcentral lists this long non-coding RNA (503 nucleotides) under Mus musculus (house mouse). RNAcentral describes it as "predicted gene 9920". Lineage: Eukaryota; Metazoa; Chordata; Mammalia; Rodentia; Muridae. The record is from RNAcentral.